AUGGCGGUGCCUUGUUACGACUCUGGCAGCCUGCCCAUCCGCGUGUUGAGCCACCGCCUCGUGAAGGCCUCAGACCCCUCCAUCGAGCCGCACGUGGCCGCUGUCUCCAACCUCGACCUUUACCCGAACAUCGUGCAAGCCUCCAUAGUGUGCCUCUACCCCAAGCCCAAGCUUCUGAAGCUGGCUGCCGGGGACUUUAGCGCGGUCGUGGCGGUCUUCGAGGGGUUCUUGCCGUCCCUGCUCAACCACUUCUACCCUCUUGCAGGGCGCAUCGUCAGCAACCCGACAUCGGGGCUCCCUGAGCUCCAUUGCCACAACCAAGGCGUGGAGCUUAUCGUCGGCGAUGUGGGCCUCGUUUUGGGGAACCUGGACUAUAACCAGAAUUCGGUCACAAUACACUGCAUGCGUACACCUGAUACGUGA
This 423-nucleotide ribosomal RNA is filed under the name Triticum aestivum (bread wheat). RNAcentral's name for it is "partial small subunit ribosomal RNA". The record is from RNAcentral. Lineage: Eukaryota; Viridiplantae; Streptophyta; Magnoliopsida; Poales; Poaceae.